This 1109-nucleotide long non-coding RNA is filed under the name Sus scrofa (pig). RNAcentral describes it as "lncRNA (ENSSSCG00035060289.1)". Lineage: Eukaryota; Metazoa; Chordata; Mammalia; Artiodactyla; Suidae. The record is from RNAcentral.
UACCUUCUGAGUGAGGAGCAGAGCAGGCGCUGGCGUCUACAGGUGAGGCGGUAUUCUGUGACCUCACAGCUUUGGAUGGCAAAGCAAUUGCUCAGCAUGAUGUGAAGAAUCAGUCCAAAAAGCUGCCACAAACCCUCUUGAUGAGAGAUUAAAAAAAAAACACACCUUUUUUUUUUAAACAAAAGAAAUCCCAGUAAUAUGAGGGAUAUGGAUGUUAGUAAUUACCACACAUUGAAAGUAUUGUUUAGCGUGAAAAGUAAAACUUUCAAAAAAUUUCCUUGAUUCUAUUUAAUAAAUAAUUUGAAGGAACCACUUAUGCAAAACUUGAUUACUGAAAACGCCACAUGCUGUGGAUAAUUAAAAACAAAAAGGAAUUACUCACAGGAGAUACUCAAAUUAGUUUAUUAUAAUUCUUCAAACAAGUAAAAAAACUCCUCCCCGUUUUUUUUUUGUUUUGUUUUGUUUUUUGUUUUUGCUGCUCUUUAUGUAGGGGAAAAGCAUCCUUUCUGGAGAAGGAGAAGCUGGCUCCAAUGAAGAGAUGGUCUACUGCCUGUUUUCCAAAGGUACACCCACAGCAAGGCUGGGUGCUUUCUCCUCUCUUGGGAUUAUUAGAGGCUAUUCUAAGGCUCUCACAGGUUUUAAAAGAUUCUUUUGCUAAUGAGGAUUUUACCCAUCUUAUCUGUAUUUCUUUGAAAAAAGAUCUUUCCUUAGUGAGGCAGAUUUCACUCCUCAGAGUCCUUGACCAAGAACGAUAUUCUCCAGAGGUAAUCUUGGAAGGAAGAGAGGCGCAGGCCGGGUUUCAGAGCGGCCUAGCGGGGGCUUACACAGUGACCAUAGGGUCAACUCCUCGCCUCUCUCCUGGCCCACCGAUGGUUGCUUCCUAGGGGCUCUCCAGCGACAGUUCACUGUGGAAGUGUCUUCAAAGGAGAAAAGUGAGCAGACUGUCAUCUUUGCUCAUAUAAGGGCAACUCCAAAUAGUGAGUUCAGAACCUUGCUUUGGGGACCCAAGGUGUCUUUGGAAAGCUCCUGUCACCUGAGCUGCCCGGCACCGGGAUAUAUAGCUACACCUCACAGCGUCUUGCGAGGUAGGUUGUCCGGUGCCAUCCUAC